This is a ribosomal RNA of 965 nucleotides. It matches the Rfam family "Bacterial small subunit ribosomal RNA", at positions 59 to 1016 of the family's 1533-position model.
CAGUCGAGCGGAACGAUCCUAGCUUGCUAGGAGGCGUCGAGCGGCGGACGGGUGAGUAAUGCAUAGGAAUCUACCCAGUCGUGGGGGAUAACCUGAGGAAACUCAGGCUAAUACCGCAUACGUCCUACGGGAGAAAGCGGGGGCUCUUCGGACCUCGUGCGAUUGGAUGAGCCUAUGUCGGAUUAGCUAGUUGGUAAGGUAACGGCUUACCAAGGCGACGAUCCGUAGCUGGUCUGAGAGGAUGAUCAGCCACACCGGGACUGAGACACGGCCCGGACUCCUACGGGAGGCAGCAGUGGGGAAUAUUGGACAAUGGGCGAAAGCCUGAUCCAGCCAUGCCGCGUGUGUGAAGAAGGCUUUCGGGUUGUAAAGCACUUUCAGCGAGGAAGAAAGCGUGCCGUUUAAUACACGGUACGGACGACAUCACUCGCAGAAGAAGCACCGGCUAACUCCGUGCCAGCAGCCGCGGUAAUACGGAGGGUGCAAGCGUUAAUCGGAAUUACUGGGCGUAAAGCGCGCGUAGGCGGCGUGUCACGCCGGGUGUGAAAGCCCCGGGCUCAACCUGGGAACGGCAUCCGGAACGGGCAGGCUAGAGUGCAGGAGAGGAAGGUAGAAUUCCCGGUGUAGCGGUGAAAUGCGUAGAGAUCGGGAGGAAUACCAGUGGCGAAGGCGGCCUUCUGGACUGACACUGACGCUGAGGUGCGAAAGCGUGGGUAGCAAACAGGAUUAGAUACCCUGGUAGUCCACGCCGUAAACGAUGUCGACUAGCCGUUGGGUCCCUUGAGGACUUAGUGGCGCAGUUAACGCGAUAAGUCGACCGCCUGGGGAGUACGGCCGCAAGGUUAAAACUCAAAUGAAUUGACGGGGGCCCGCACAAGCGGUGGAGCAUGUGGUUUAAUUCGAUGCAACGCGAAGAACCUUACCUACCCUUGACAUCCUGCGAACCCGGAAGAGAUUCCGGGGUG